UUUAAAGCCAUAUUAACUCAAAGUGCUUUAUAUAUGGUGUUAAAAUUAAGUAAAAACAAUGAGACACUAAUCUUCUACAAACAUAGAAAUAGAAAUCAAAGAAAAUGUCUUAAAUGUAUAACAACUAUGUAAGAAACAUCAAACUGAUCAGUAAUUCAAUCUAAUUUCAUGGUGAUCGGCAAUUCUUUGACAUCAAAGUGACUUAAACCACUAGUCUACAGAUGUUAUCAGAACUUUGAUCCGGCAUACCUGGAAAUCAACAAGAUUCUUGUUCACUCCACUGCUUUUCUGCUUCGUCUCCUAUCUGCGUUCAAUCUCGGCUUCAUCAUGGUCCUUCCGCCUAUUUUUAAGUGGCUCAUUGGACACAAAUGUUGAGUUAUUUUUAUUCUUCGAACUUUGUAAGUACUGACUAGAGCUUGAACAGGAAGGCCUCUUGCACUUGAUCAACUCACAAGCCUUUAAAUAGAACCCCUCUUCUCACAAUUAAAAGGCCUAUAAAAUCCACAUUAGAAGAGUAAAUUUCCACAAAAAUAGCCAGAUAAACCAAGAAUAAGGCAUUUCACAAUAAUAAUUUGGGGGAAAAAAAAAAUCUAGAGCUACUAGCAGUUAAUGAGAAGUGACCCAAAGGCACAGAGUGAAACUUAAUUUAACUCCUGCUUUCUUCCAAAUAGCAGUAUAUAAUAGAAGUAAAUUUAAGUAAAAGAAAAAAGGCAAAAUUUUAUUUAAUGCAACAUAGAGAAAUUUCUGCUAAUCUUGCAAGCAAAUCAAAACCAAAUCACAGGGUUAAUGAUAGCACCUAGGAUAUUAAAUACAGUCAUCUAAAUAUUCCUUCUUACAAAUCCUAUAUAAAUCUGAGAAAUCAAAAGUUAAUGAUGCUUGGCAGCAAUGAGAAACCAUCAGAAAUAAAGCCAACUGUUAGACCAGUACUAUAAAACUAAAAUUCAUUGGUUGAAAUAAAGCCAACUGUUAGACCAGUACUAUAAAACUAAAAUUCAUUGGUUAAAUCCAUUUUAUUGCACCGGCCAACCUUAAUUUUCAUCACGCAUAAAAAUUGAAUAAAUAGAAGAAUUAAAUUGCUUAAUGAAAUGCAAAACCCAUUACCUCAGAAUGAACAGAAUCAUAGUUCACCUAGAUUAGUUUAAAAUAUAGGGAAGAGACAAAAGGCUUAAACCGCUUAAUAGAAAACACAUGCCCCUACUGUCGAAAAGCGGAAUCAAUCAUUAGUACUCUUCCAUAAGUCCAAAAAAGCUUAACCCCUCAAAGAAGUUGCCCAAGCAGAGACAAUUGAGAAGGAAACUUCCAUGAUUAAGUUCUUGGUGAGUCUCUUUUAAAUACAGGUUAACAGACUACUCCUUUUGCAGAGAGAAGAUAGACUAAGAGAACUCACAAAGAUUUUCUAACAUGCCAAUAGUCCAAUCCUUUGAUCUUCUUCCCCUAAAUGAUGCCCACACCCCAUCUUUCUUUACAAAAAUGAAGAUGAUAAGGUUCUGUUACUGUUAGAUGCUAGAUAUGCAGAAGAAUUGUAGUUACAAGAGGCUCUAAAG
This 1544-nucleotide unclassified non-coding RNA is filed under the name Hevea brasiliensis (rubber tree). Lineage: Eukaryota; Viridiplantae; Streptophyta; Magnoliopsida; Malpighiales; Euphorbiaceae. The record is from RNAcentral.